GAUGAACGCUGGCGGCGUGCCUAAUACAUGCAAGUCGAGCGAACAGAUGAGGAGCUUGCUCCUCUGACGUUAGCGGCGGACGGGUGAGUAACACGUGGAUAACCUACCUAUAAGACUGGGAUAACUUCGGGAAACCGGAGCUAAUACCGGAUAAUAUAUUGAACCGCAUGGUUCAAUAGUGAAAGACGGUUUUGCUGUCACGUAUAGAUGGAUCCGCGCCGCAUUAGCUAGUUGGUAAGGUAACGGCUUACCAAGGCAACGAGGCGUAGCCGACCUGAGAGGGUGAUCGGCCACACUGGAACUGAGACACGGUCCAGACUCCUACGGGAGGAAGCAGUAGGGAAUCUUCCGCAAUGGGCGAAAGCCUGACGGAGCAACGCCGCGUGAGUGAUGAAGGUCUUCGGAUCGUAAAACUCUGUUAUUAGGGAAGAACAAAUGUGUAAGUAACUAUGCACGUCUUGACGGUACCUAAUCAGAAAGCCACGGCUAACUACGUG
This 497-nucleotide ribosomal RNA is filed under the name uncultured bacterium. RNAcentral describes it as "partial 16S ribosomal RNA". It matches the Rfam family "Bacterial small subunit ribosomal RNA", at positions 28 to 507 of the family's 1533-position model. The record is from RNAcentral.